This is a non-coding RNA of Paramormyrops kingsleyae, 464 nucleotides long. The record is from RefSeq and is a predicted model, not a curated record. NCBI's taxonomy places the organism in Eukaryota, Metazoa, Chordata, Actinopteri, Osteoglossiformes, Mormyridae.
GCAAGAAUAAGCAAGAAUAAUGAACCGGAAGUACUUUCGUUGUCAUGGUUAUAACAGAGCAUUUUUCAAAUUAAAAACUUGCGUGCUCUGCGAGCUAUCAAGGUGGACUUGCGGCUUUGUAUUGAGUCUGCUGGUUUCUCGUGUGCGAAUUGAAGUGAUGGAAGACUACGGGACUGGAUUCCGGCACAAGUUGGAGAAGUGGCCACGAUCUUCCAUAACGGGUUUUUUUCACAAAACCUCUAUUCCGGAGAUUGUUGAAGGAAAGAAGGUGAAGCGUCUCUUUCACCACUAAACUACAGCAGAAAUACCUGAGCCUCAGAGCUAAUAUCAAUGAUUAAGUAAAGCACGUUUAUACUUUCUAUACUUUUCCGCAUACUGUUAUUUGCCAGUUUUGAGCUGAUUUUUGUAAAGUAAACAUUCAGUAAAUGGUAUUCCCCAUAAGUAAAUAAAUAAUUUCUGUGGUA